Non-coding RNA from Cajanus cajan (pigeon pea), 726 nucleotides. NCBI's taxonomy places the organism in Eukaryota, Viridiplantae, Streptophyta, Magnoliopsida, Fabales, Fabaceae. The record is from RefSeq and is a predicted model, not a curated record.
ACAGCUUUCCACUCCUUCCCGCUCUUGCCCUAGCACACAUACCAGACUCUCUCGCUGGCCACGACACCUCCUUCCCUGUUCUCUUGGAGACCCAUCUUUGAGAAACCAAUUCUCCCCACGAAUGUAAUCAUCUAAUCACACAAAGAUCUCACCUUUUUCUUUUCCAAUUUCUCCUUUUCUAUUCAACUUCUUCAAGUGGGGGUUUUCUUUGAAUUGCUGCGGUGACCCCUAUGUUCUAGGUAGUGUAUGCUUUUCAAAAUUUUGGCUGUGCUCAGGAAAAUGACAAGGGUGUUACAUUCAAGGGUGUGCAUUCGGUGUCAUUUUCCGCAUAUGGAGUCCCUCUUAUAGAAGAUUAUGUAUGGGGUCCUGUGAAGCGCCUUGAAUCACUGUAUCCAGAUUCGAAUCCGCGGGGAUAUUACGCUGGUUCAAAUGGCUCGCCUUAGGUUUCCACCUUCCUAACUUUCUCUCUUCCUUCUCCACCAUUUCCUAAUUCUAAUUCCUCCAUUCUCACUCCCUUCGCCAUGUCCAACAGGAUGGACGAAUUGUUCCUUUAGUUCAGUAUGUGGUUUCCCUGGCUAUCACAGAGGCAAUCAAGGAUAUCUGUGACAAAAAUGGGUUACCCUGCAUAGAUGUUAAAAUCAAGUGGCCAAAUGAUCUUUAUUUAAAUGGAUCUAAAGUUGGAGGCAUUCUUUGUACGUCAACAUAUAAAUCAAAGAAGUUCAAUGU